GACGAACGCUGGCGGCGUGCUUAACACAUGCAAGUCGAACGCUGAAGCUCAGCUUUUGUUGGGUGGAUGAGUGGCGAACGGGUGAGUAACACGUGAGUAACCUGCCCCCUUCUUUGGGAUAACGCCCGGAAACGGGUGCUAAUACUGGAUAUUCACUGGUCUUCGCAUGGGGGUUGGUGGAAAGGGUUUUUCUGGUGGGGGAUGGGCUCGCGGCCUAUCAGCUUGUUGGUGGGGUGAUGGCCUACCAAGGCUUUGACGGGUAGCCGGCCUGAGAGGGUGACCGGUCACAUUGGGACUGAGAUACGGCCCAGACUAGGACGGGGGGCAGCAGUGGGGAAUAUUGCACAAUGGGCGCAAGCCUGAUGCAGCGACGCCGCGUGAGGGAUGGAGGCCUUCGGGUUGUGAACCUCUUUCGCUCAUGGUCAAGCCGCAACAAUGGUUGUGGUGAGGGUAGUGGGUAAAGAAGCGCCGGCUAACUACGUG
This 483-nucleotide ribosomal RNA is filed under the name uncultured bacterium. Its description in RNAcentral is "partial 16S ribosomal RNA". It matches the Rfam family "Bacterial small subunit ribosomal RNA", at positions 28 to 507 of the family's 1533-position model. The record is from RNAcentral.